CUACGGGGGGCAGCAGUGGGGAAUAUUGGACAAUGGGGGAAACCCUGAUCCAGCAAUGCCGCGUGUGUGAAGAAGGCCUGCGGGUUGUAAAGCACUUUCGGUUGGGAGGACUGCUUCUAGCACUAAUAUUGUUGGAAGUUGACGUUACCUUCAGAAGAAGCACCGGCUAACUCCGUGCCAGCAGCCGCGGUAAUACGGAGGGUGCAAGCGUUAAUCGGAAUUACUGGGCGUAAAGCGCGCGUAGGCGGCUAGAUCAGUCGGGUGUGAAAGACCCGGGCUUAACCUGGGAACUGCAUCCGAUACUGUCUAGCUUGAGUACAGGAGAGGAGAGUGGAAUUCCACAUGUAGCGGUGAAAUGCGUAGAUAUGUGGAGGAACACCAAUGGCGAAGGCAGCUCUCUGGCCUGAUACUGACGCUGAGGUGCGAAAGUGUGUGGAGCAAACAGGAUUAGAUACCCUCGUAGUC
This 465-nucleotide ribosomal RNA is filed under the name uncultured bacterium. RNAcentral's name for it is "partial 16S ribosomal RNA". It matches the Rfam family "Bacterial small subunit ribosomal RNA", at positions 339 to 795 of the family's 1533-position model. The record is from RNAcentral.